This 90-nucleotide ribosomal RNA is filed under the name uncultured bacterium. RNAcentral's name for it is "partial 16S ribosomal RNA". It matches the Rfam family "Bacterial small subunit ribosomal RNA", at positions 1393 to 1482 of the family's 1533-position model. The record is from RNAcentral.
CCCGUCACACCAUGGAAGUUGAUUGCACCAGAAGUGGGUAGCCUAACCGCAAGGAGGGCGCUCACCACGGUGUGCUCAAUGACUGAGGUG